GUUAAAAAGCUCGUAGUUGGAGUUCUGCCAGGUGCCGCCUGUCCGCCCCAGUGGUGAGUACGUGGCGCGCAUUUGGCCCUUUCAAGGGGAGCGUAUUGCACUUAACUGUGUGGUGCGGGAUCCUUGACUUUUACUUUGAGGAAAUAAGAGUGUUCCAAGCAGGCUCUCGUCGUGCAUAGCUCAGCAUGGAAUAAUAGCAUUGGAUCUCGAUUCCAAACUGUUGGUUGUAGGAAACGAGAUAAUGAUGAAGAGGGAUAGUUGGGGGCAUUCGUAUUUAACUGUCAGAGGUGAAAUUCUUGGAUUUGUUAAAGACGAACUACUGCGAAAGCAUCUGCCAUGGAUGUUUUCAUUGAUCAAGAACGAAAGUUAGGGGAUCGAAGACGAUCAGAUACCGUCCUAGUCUUAACUAUAAACCAUGCCGGCUAGAGAUCGGAGGUUGUUCGUUUUGUGACGCCUUCAGCAUCUUGAGAGAAAUCAAAGCCUUUGGGUUCCGGGGGGAGUAUGGUCGCAAGGCUGAAACUUAAAGGAAUUGACGGAAGGGCACCACCAGGAGUGGAGCCUGCGGCUUAAUUUGACUCAACACGGGGAAACUCACCAGGUCCAGACUGGGUAAGGAUGUACAGAUUGACAGCUCUUUACAGAUUCUCAGGGUGGUGGUGCAUGGCCGUUCUUAGUUGGUGGAGUGAUUUGUCUGGUUAAUUCCGUUAACG
Molecule: ribosomal RNA, 710 nt
Filed under: uncultured marine alveolate
Lineage: Eukaryota
Description: SSU rRNA
Rfam family: Eukaryotic small subunit ribosomal RNA
Source: RNAcentral